AGCCUCCUUGUCCUUCGGGAGAUCAUUUGUUUUCUUUGGUUUUCUCUUCGCGGUGCCUAGGACGGAUAAACCCUAACCAGAUCUUCGCCAUGCCCGGGCCGGAUGGCUGGCUCCUCCUCCGGCAGCGGCACCGCCCCCCAGCCCCCUCACAAGCCUUCUUUUUCUUCUCUGGUCGUCCCGGUGCGGCCUCCACCGCUCGGCUUCAACAUUGACUAGCUUCCGUUGCCGUUCAUGGAGAAUGGUGUGGUUUCAGUUCGUAUCUCGGAGGCUCCUUUCCUCGGUGGUCUAGAACGCUGCAAGACAAACCUUGUGGGCAAGUUUGAACUGGUGAUUGUUUGAAUAUCAUUUUGGUUUGAUUCAACGGUAUAAAUAAUUGAAGCAUAAUAUUAGUGUGUGGUAACUUUUCUCAAAGAUACCAAUUGAGGUUUAUGCUGUAAUACUAUAAAAGUAUAAAUGUCUAAUACACUAAUAUGAGUGAUAAUAUAUUCAUAUUAGCUUCUGUCUUGUGGAUGGUGUAGUGGAGUAGGUCCUGUACUUGGCAUAAUGUUUUGGUAAUGAUUAAUUACAGAGGUAUGCUGAGUAUACUUAGUAUGCAUUAUGUAGACAUGUAUCCUAAAGACAUGUGAUUUGAUUCUAGGCAUUUUGUUAUGCAAGGCGCUUACCAUUUUUUUGGACUCAAAUGUCCCAGCAUGGCUUGCUAUCUUUGCUGCAGUCAUCCUUGUACUUGCUUUUACGAAGGUUCCUCACUAAUUCUUAUCUUUGGGAAGAGGCUCCACCAAUUCAUACCGCUUCCUUGCAUUUUGGUUACCUCCUCCAUGUAUCUAACCUUCUGUAUAGUUCUGUUAGUUGCAACAGUUAAAGGCCAAUCCUGAUAGAAGUGCAAAAUGCAGUCAUUGAGGCUGGUCUUGAUAAAUCUAGAGAACCUUUAGUUACACUUAUCGUGCAAAAUGGAACCGUUAGAAAGGGGGACAUAGUAGUGUGUGGAGUAGCCUUUGGAAAGGUUGGUUGAUUACUCCUUGUUUUGAUGUAAUCAUAUGUAAUGUUGACAAAAGAUGAAAAUCCUCAUUUAUAUUAUUUGUCAUUUGGGUUCACAGGUCUUGUCAGCUUCUAGCUUAAGAGCUCUUGGGUCUGAUGGUGAAGUAGAAGGGAUUGGUUAAGUUGUGGCCUUAGACAAUGAUUAAGUCUUGUAGAUAAGGGGAGCUUGCGCUGGAAGGAGCUCAUUAUUUGACAACAGGGGAGCUCGUGAGUCUCAGGGAGCAGCAGCUUGUGGACUGUGAUCAUGAGGAAGUGAGAGGCUUGUCUUGUUAAGCUUUCUUGAAUAAGAGCUAAAGCUGCUAGUAUAUGCUUUUGCCUUUGAAAUAUAGGUUUGGAUCUUUUUCUUCAAGUCUGAGAAUAAUGAACUACCAAGAGAGUUUUGUACUGUAAACCAUAUGUAAACCAUGUUUGCUGCAAUAUAAGUUUCUUCUGUUCCAAAAUC
Long non-coding RNA from Rosa rugosa (rugosa rose), 1477 nucleotides. RefSeq lists it as uncharacterized. Lineage: Eukaryota; Viridiplantae; Streptophyta; Magnoliopsida; Rosales; Rosaceae. The transcript has 4 exons. The record is from RefSeq and is a predicted model, not a curated record.